Molecule: ribosomal RNA, 451 nt
Filed under: uncultured bacterium
Lineage: Bacteria
Description: bacterial SSU rRNA
Rfam family: Bacterial small subunit ribosomal RNA
Source: RNAcentral
UUCCAGACUCCUACGGGAGGCAGCAGUGGGGAAUAUUGGGCAAUGGGCGCAAGCCUGACCCAGCAAUGCCGCGUGAAGGAAGAAGGCUUUCGGGUUGUAAACUUCUUUGACAGGGGAAGAGCGGAAGACGGUACCCUGAAAACAAGCCACGGCUAACUACGUGCCAGCAGCCGCGGUAAUACGUAGGUGGCAAGCGUUAUCCGGAUUUACUGGGUGUAAAGGGCGUGUAGGCGGGAAAGCAAGUCAGAUGUGAAAACCAUGGGCUCAACCUGUGGCCUGCAUUUGAAACUGUUUUUCUUGAGUACUGGAGAGGCAGACGGAAUUCCUAGUGUAGCGGUGAAAUGCGUAGAUAUUAGGAGGAACACCAGUGGCGAAGGCGGUCUGCUGGACAGCAACUGACGCUGAGGCGCGAAAGCGUGGGGAGCAAACAGGAUUAGAUACCCCUGUAAUU